Molecule: long non-coding RNA, 935 nt
Filed under: Setaria viridis
Lineage: Eukaryota; Viridiplantae; Streptophyta; Magnoliopsida; Poales; Poaceae
Description: long non-coding RNA (SVIR_LNC004893)
Source: RNAcentral
UAGAGGGGGGGUGAAUAGUCGAACCUGAAAUUUUUCACAAUUUUGAACAAGUUUAUCAGCGACUUCCGGAGUUUCUGGAGAUUAUUCUAGAAAUUCCUCAACUUACAGAAUUUUCGGAGAAAUCUUUGGAUUCUCUGGAGAAACAAGAAUUUGAAAUACGACCUUUUGAAAGACUUGCUCAAAUGUAAACCACCGAAUAUAGGUUAAGAAAUAGGAUAUUCUAGGCCUGUGGCAUAAUAUAGAACAACUGGAAACUUGCUAGAAAAGUAGAUCGAGCACAAACACUAGAAAUAUGUUCUAUGCUUGAAUAUGAACAAAUUUAAGAACAACAAGCACAAGAGACACAAGGAUUUGUUUACCGAAGUUCAGCUUCACACCUUGAAGCCUACGUCUCUGUGAGGACCCUGAAGGGUGGGCUUUUCACACCUAAGCCACUUUCCUCACUCUAGCGACCACAAGGAUCAAGCUAGAGUCACUUACUCAAUUUUCAGGAUAAUACAAACUUUCUGUAGACAGCCACAACCUUGGAUGCUUCAUGGGCAACGCCUAGCUGGCUAGGAGCUUGAAGCUCCAAGAGUAACAAAUGCAAAAUCACCAGCUUGACGAAGAACAAGGUGCUGAAGAGAUGGAAAAUCUGCUCACUAGCACUCUUCCUUACUCUUCCUUGAAUCCCUCCUUAAAUCCCCCACCAAAUAUUCACCUAAAUGCCAAGAGAAGAGUAAAGAGGGGCUUUGAAUGUUUCUGAAUAGCUCAGGUCAAAGUUAGGUUGAGAGAGAGACUGUGGGAGGGGGUGAGCCCUCACCCUGAGACUAGCUGUUGGCAGUUAAGUUCCGAAGUUUUCUGUAACUUUUUCCAGAAACUCUGGAACCCCCGGAUUCUUUCGGAACAAUUCCGAAAAUCUUUGGACUUCCAAAAUUUUUCAGAAUACUUUCUGG